Cinara cedri is the source of this 308-nucleotide non-coding RNA. The record is from the annotation of a GenBank genome assembly. NCBI's taxonomy places the organism in Eukaryota, Metazoa, Arthropoda, Insecta, Hemiptera, Aphididae.
CAUGGGUAAUACCUAUUUUAGGCACCAUAAUAUGACAUAUAUAUUGUUGACAAAAUAACACUAUCGACCAAAUUUUAUUUAGAAUCGUUUUUCGUUAACAAUGGUUUAUCGUUGUAAUGAGAUAUACAUUAAAUUUAUGUCUAAAUCCUACCUUCCCAACUUCCAACAUACAAUAAUAACUACACUUGUCUCUAUUAUCUUAGUGUAGCUUUUUAGGAUUAAUCAUUUAAUAACUAGUGAGUCAUAAUACUAAUUCUGUUUGAAUUGCCUCUGGAAAGUUUUCUACUUAUAUAUAUAUGUGAGGUUUG